GAUGAACGCUAGCUACAGGCUUAACACAUGCAAGUCGCGGGGCAGCAUGGGGGUUGCUUGCAAUCCCCGAUGGCGACCGGCGCACGGGUGAGUAACGCGUAUCCAACCUGCCCUUCACCACGGGAUAACCCGGCGAAAGUCGGACUAAUACCGUAUGUUGUCCAUUGACGGCAUCCGAUUUGGACGAAAGGCUUGGCGGUGAGGGAUGGGGAUGCGUCCGAUUAGCCAGACGGCGGGGUAACGGCCCACCGUGGCUACGAUCGGUAGGGGUUCUGAGAGGAAGGUCCCCCACACUGGAACUGAGACACGGUCCAGACUCCUACGGGAGGCAGCAGUGAGGAAUAUUAGUCAAUGGGCGUAAGCCUGAACCAGCCAAGUAGCGUGCAGGAUGACGGCCCUAUGGGUUGUAAACUGCUUUUAUGCGGGGAUAAAGUGGCCCACGUGUGGGCUUUUGCAGGUACCGCAUGAAUAAGGACCGGCUAAUUCCGU
Molecule: ribosomal RNA, 489 nt
Filed under: uncultured bacterium
Lineage: Bacteria
Description: partial 16S ribosomal RNA
Rfam family: Bacterial small subunit ribosomal RNA
Source: RNAcentral